GUCUCCUUGAUCUUGUCGUCUCCGUCGGUGUACCUUAUCGGCGACGCCUCUUUCUAUGUCUCGCUCUCUCUCGGUGGUUCUCUGUCUCGGUAGUUCUCGCUCUCUCUAUCUCUCUCUCUCGGUGGUUCUCGGCUUCUCUCUCUCUCGGUGGGUGUCCUCGAGGCGACGAAGCUCUCCUUCGGUGGCUCAGAUCGGAGACGUCUCCUUCGGUGUCUCUUAUCGGCGACGGAGCUCUCCUUCUGAGGCUCUAAUCGGUGACGUCUUAAUUGAAAGUUUGUAGGUACUCUUCGAACCGGUAUCUCGGUGGGACUUCUCGUUGAAGCUUUCUCUCGGUGGCUCACCUCAAAUCGAAAGGAGUACGAAGAGGAGUACAUUUGGUGGUUGGCCGAGAAGCA
Raphanus sativus (radish) is the source of this 395-nucleotide long non-coding RNA. RefSeq lists it as uncharacterized. NCBI's taxonomy places the organism in Eukaryota, Viridiplantae, Streptophyta, Magnoliopsida, Brassicales, Brassicaceae. The record is from RefSeq and is a predicted model, not a curated record. The transcript is spliced from 3 exons.